RNAcentral lists this ribosomal RNA (497 nucleotides) under uncultured bacterium. RNAcentral describes it as "partial 16S ribosomal RNA". It matches the Rfam family "Bacterial small subunit ribosomal RNA", at positions 28 to 507 of the family's 1533-position model. The record is from RNAcentral.
GAUGAACGCUGGCGGCGUGCCUAAUACAUGCAAGUCGAGCGAACAGACGAGGAGCUUGCUCCUCUGACGUUAGCGGCGGACGGGUGAGUAACACGUGGAUAACCUACCUAUAAGACUGGGAUAACUUCGGGAAACCGGAGCUAAUACCGUAUAAGAUAUUGAACCGCAUGGUUCAAUAGUGAAGGACGGUUUUUCUGUCACUUCUAGAUGGAUCCGGGCCGCAGUAGCUAGUUGGUAAGGUAACGGCUUACCAAGGCGACGAUGCGUAGACGACCUGAGAGGGUGAUCGGCCGCCCGAGAACUGGAACACGGUCCAGACUCCUGAGGGAGGCAGCAGUAGGGAAUCUUCCGCAAUAGGCGAAAGCAUGACGGAGCAACGCCGCGUGAGUGAUGACGGUGUUCCGAUCGUAAAACUCUGUUAUGAGGGAAGAACAAAUGUGUAAGUAGAUAUACACGUAUUGACGGUACCUAGUAAGAAAGCAACGGCUAACUACGUG